CUGUGACAAAAGGGUACUCUAAACUAUCAGUACACAUGUUUAUCUAUUUUGGUGCGUAUAAGAUUUACCUAGUUAUUCAAUUUCAAAACCAAUGCCAAUAUUGUGCUUUUAUUCUUGGUACAACAAUGAAGAAGAAACUACUCGAGCACUUUCUGAAUGAAAGUUUAGCUAUAACAGUUAAUGCCGCCUGAACGCAUGUAAUGCUUUUGACUCCAUCCCAGCUCAUAUGAAGAGAAAUACCUCCAAGGAGAUGUGACAAGAUCUCGAGUUAUGUCCUUGUGAGACUGAGCAGCAUUAAGGAGACUGGUCAGGAUGGAGGGAAGGUUGAAUGGAUCAGAAUGGAUACAGCGAAUACCUUAUCCAGAAUGCACAGGGCCUCAGACUGUGGCAAAGAUUCAUCCUUCAGACAACAACAACACAGCUAAGAUGAUACUGCAGUGGCUUUGGAACAAAACUGCAAAUGUCCUUGAGUGGCCCAGCCAAAGCCCAGACUUGAACCCACUUGAACGUUUGUGGGGAGACCUGAACAUGGCAGUUCACCCACACUUCCCAUCAAAUCUGAUUAAGCUUGAGAUGAUUCACAAGAAUGGGAGAAACUGUCCAAAUCCAUCUGUUGCAAAGCUGGUAAAGGCAUGCCCAAGAAAACCCC
Molecule: long non-coding RNA, 649 nt
Organism: Esox lucius (northern pike)
Lineage: Eukaryota; Metazoa; Chordata; Actinopteri; Esociformes; Esocidae
Source: Ensembl